CACGCAGGCGGUCUGUCAAGUCGGAUGUGAAAUCCCUGAGCUUAACUUAGGAAUUGCAUUCGAUACUGGAAAGCUAGAGUAUGGGAGAGGAUGGUAGAAUUCCAGGUGUAGCGGUGAAAUGCGUAGAGAUCUGGAGGAAUACCGAUGGCGAAGGCAGCCAUCUGGCCUAAUACUGACGCUGAGGUACGAAAGCAUGGGGAGCAAACAGGAUUAGAUACCCCCGUA
RNAcentral lists this ribosomal RNA (225 nucleotides) under uncultured Acinetobacter sp. Its description in RNAcentral is "partial 16S ribosomal RNA". It matches the Rfam family "Bacterial small subunit ribosomal RNA", at positions 568 to 792 of the family's 1533-position model. Lineage: Bacteria; Pseudomonadati; Pseudomonadota; Gammaproteobacteria; Moraxellales; Moraxellaceae. The record is from RNAcentral.